GAUUGCGACCAUACCAGCACUAAUGCACCGGAUCCCAUCAGAACUCCGCAGUUAAGCGUGCUUGGGCGAGAGUAGUACUAGGAUGGGUGACCCCCUGGGAAGUCCUCGUGUUGCAACCC
This 119-nucleotide ribosomal RNA is filed under the name Helianthus annuus (common sunflower). Lineage: Eukaryota; Viridiplantae; Streptophyta; Magnoliopsida; Asterales; Asteraceae. The record is from RNAcentral.